AAACUAACAAGGAUUCCCCUAGUAGCGGCGAGCGAAGCGGGAAGAGCUCAAAUUUAUAAUCUGGCACCUUCGGUGUCCGAGUUGUAAUCUCUAGAAAUGUUUUCCGCGCUGGACCGCACACAAGUCUGUUGGAAUACAGCGGCAUAGUGGUGAGACCCCCGUAUAUGGUGCGGACGCCCAGCGCUUUGUGAUACAUUUUCGAAGAGUCGAGUUGUUUGGGAAUGCAGCUCAAAUUGGGUGGUAAAUUCCAUCUAAAGCUAAAUAUUGGCGAGAGACCGAUAGCGAACAAGUACCGUGAGGGAAAGAUGAAAAGCACUUUGGAAAGAGAGUUAACAGUACGUGAAAUUGUUGGAAGGGAAACGCUUGAAGUCAGACUUGCUUGCCGAGCAAUCGGUUUGCAGGCCAGCAUCAGUUUUCCGGGAUGGAUAAUGGUAGAGAGAAGGUAGCAGUUUCGGCUGUGUUAUAGCUCUCUGCUGGAUACAUCUUGGGGGACUGAGGAACGCAGUGUGCCUUUGGCGGGGGUUUCGACCUCUUCACACUUAGGAUGCUGGUGGAAUGGCUUUAAACGAC
This 570-nucleotide ribosomal RNA is filed under the name Rhodotorula mucilaginosa. RNAcentral describes it as "eukaryotic LSU rRNA". It matches the Rfam family "Eukaryotic large subunit ribosomal RNA", at positions 62 to 648 of the family's 3401-position model. Lineage: Eukaryota; Fungi; Basidiomycota; Microbotryomycetes; Sporidiobolales; Sporidiobolaceae. The record is from RNAcentral.